Helianthus annuus (common sunflower) is the source of this 434-nucleotide long non-coding RNA. RefSeq lists it as uncharacterized. NCBI's taxonomy places the organism in Eukaryota, Viridiplantae, Streptophyta, Magnoliopsida, Asterales, Asteraceae. The transcript has 3 exons. The record is from RefSeq and is a predicted model, not a curated record.
CAAGCAGGGGAAAGUUUCCCCACCUUCAAACCCUAAUAUCCACAAAUCUCUUAAAUUGGAGGUGCAAAUCCAAUCCAAAACGAAAUCCGAGCUUAGAAUUGUGAUCCUCAUUGCAAGAGGAUUAAGAGGCAAAGAGUCCGGAUCAUCAAGCGGACAAGCCGGAGGGAAUUCACGGGGAAAAAGUGUGCUCUAAAGUUUUUCAGGUAUUCAAGUAGAAGGAUGAUGAUCAAGCAUAAGUAUCCGAACCGAACACUCAAACAAACGCUUCCGCACUUGAUAUUUGGUUUUUUUAAAACUAUGUAAAAAAAAUUGUAGAUCCUGUUUUGUAUAUGUUUUCGUAGGAUUAACAUGUUGAUGUAUUAUCUAGUUAACAUUUCAAGUCUUGAAAGUUUUUGUAAACUCCAAAUUUGGUAUAAAAUGCAAGGUCUUAUGUA